AUUGAACGCUGGCGGCAUGCCUUACACAUGCAAGUCGAACGGCAGCACGGGGCAACCUGGUGGCGAGUGGCGAACGGGUGAGUAAUGCAUCGGAACGUGGCCAUUGAGUGGGGGAUAACGUAGCGAAAGUUGCGCUAAUACCGCAUAUUCUGUGAGCAGGAAAGCAGGGGACCGCAAGGCCUUGCGCUCUUUGAGCGGCCGAUGUCAGAUUAGCUAGUUGGUGAGGUAACGGCUUACCAAGGCGACGAUCUGUAGCGGGUCUGAGAGGAUGAUCCGCCACACUGGAACUGAGACACGGUCCAGACUCCUACGGGAGGCAGCAGUGGGGAAUUUUGGACAAUGGGCGCAAGCCUGAUCCAGCCAUGCCGCGUGAGUGAAGAAGGCCUUCGGGUU
This 393-nucleotide ribosomal RNA is filed under the name uncultured bacterium. Its description in RNAcentral is "bacterial SSU rRNA". It matches the Rfam family "Bacterial small subunit ribosomal RNA", at positions 30 to 424 of the family's 1533-position model. The record is from RNAcentral.